AACGAACGCUGGCGGCAUGCCUAACACAUGCAAGUCGAACGAGACCUUCGGGUCUAGUGGCGCACGGGUGCGUAACGCGUGGGAACCUGCCCGUAGGUUCGGAAUAAUUCCCCGAAAGGGGUGCUAAUACCGGAUAAUGUCUUCGGACCAAAGAUUUAUCGCCUUUGGAUGGGCCCGCGUUGGAUUAGCUAGUUGGUAGGGUAAAAGCCUACCAAGGCGACGAUGCAUAGCUGGUCUGAGAGGAUGAUCAGCCACACUGGGACUGAGACACGGCCCAGACUCCUACGGGAGGCAGCAGUGGGGAAUAUUGGACAAUGGGCGCAAGCCUGAUCCAGCAAUGCCGCGUGAGUGAUGAAGGCCUUAGGGUUGUAAAGCUCUUUUACCCGGGAUGAUAAUGACAGUACCGGGAGAAUAAGCUCCGGCUAACUCCGUG
This 433-nucleotide ribosomal RNA is filed under the name uncultured bacterium. Its description in RNAcentral is "partial 16S ribosomal RNA". It matches the Rfam family "Bacterial small subunit ribosomal RNA", at positions 29 to 507 of the family's 1533-position model. The record is from RNAcentral.